UCAAAUCUUUAAAGAAUGUAUUUGUUGGUUCAGGGAUGAAGGAAGAAGGGAAAGAAAUUAGAUAAGUAAAAUGAAUGACAGAAUUCAGUGAUUCAUUGAAUGUUUGAACACUCAGUGCUCCGUUAUUUAUUAGGGCGGGCAUGCUUGAUCGACAGUUAUU
RNAcentral lists this ribosomal RNA (160 nucleotides) under Diaporthe eres. RNAcentral describes it as "5.8S ribosomal RNA". It matches the Rfam family "5.8S ribosomal RNA". From Rfam's summary of the family: 5.8S ribosomal RNA (5.8S rRNA) is a component of the large subunit of the eukaryotic ribosome. It is transcribed by RNA polymerase I as part of the 45S precursor that also contains 18S and 28S rRNA. Lineage: Eukaryota; Fungi; Ascomycota; Sordariomycetes; Diaporthales; Diaporthaceae. The record is from RNAcentral.